This 221-nucleotide ribosomal RNA is filed under the name uncultured bacterium. RNAcentral describes it as "partial 16S ribosomal RNA". It matches the Rfam family "Bacterial small subunit ribosomal RNA", at positions 28 to 220 of the family's 1533-position model. The record is from RNAcentral.
GACGAACACUGGCGGCAUGCCUAAUACAUGCAAGUCGAACGAGCUUCCGUUGAAUGACGUGCUUGCACUGAUUUCAACAAUGAAGCGAGUGGCGAACUGGCGAGUAACACGUGGGGAAAUCUGCCCAGAAGCAGGGGAUAACACUUGGAAACAGGUGCUAAUACCGUAUAACAACAAAAUCCGCAUGGAUUUUGUUUGAAAGGUGGCUUCGGCUAUCACUU